RNAcentral lists this non-coding RNA (30 nucleotides) under Homo sapiens (human). Lineage: Eukaryota; Metazoa; Chordata; Mammalia; Primates; Hominidae. The record is from RNAcentral.
UGCUUAGUGGCCUAGCUCUCCUCCGACUGC